Molecule: ribosomal RNA, 579 nt
Filed under: uncultured Actinomycetes bacterium
Lineage: Bacteria; Bacillati; Actinomycetota; Actinomycetes
Description: bacterial SSU rRNA
Rfam family: Bacterial small subunit ribosomal RNA
Source: RNAcentral
ACACAUGCAAGUCGAGCGGAAAGGCCCUUCGGGGUACUCGAGCGGCGAACGGGUGAGUAGACACGUGAGUAAUCUGCCCUGCGCUCUGGGAUAGCCACCGGAAACGGUGAUUAAUACCGGAUAGGACCACUUCACGCAUGUGAUGGUGGUGGAAAGUUUUUUCGGCGCAGGAUGUGCUCGCGGCCUAUCAGCUUGUUGGUGAGGUAACGGCUCACCAAGGCUUUGACGGGUAACCGGCCUGAGAGGGUGACCGGUCACACUGGGACUGAGACACGGCCCAGACUCCUACGGGAGGCAGCAGUGGGGAAUAUUGGACAAUGGGCGGAAGCCUGAUCCAGCAACGCCGCGUGAGGGAUGACGGCCUUCGGGUUGUAAACCUCUUUCAGUACCGACGAAGCGCAAGUGACGGUAGGUACAGAAGAAGGACCGGCCAACUACGUGCCAGCAGCCGCGGUAAUACGUAGGGUCCGAGCGUUGUCCGGAAUUAUUGGGCGUAAAGGGCUCGUAGGCGGUUUGUCGCGUCGGGAGUGAAAACACCGGGCUUAACUCGGUGCUUGCUUUCGAUACGGGCAGACUAGA